This 680-nucleotide ribosomal RNA is filed under the name uncultured anaerobic ammonium-oxidizing bacterium. RNAcentral describes it as "bacterial SSU rRNA". It matches the Rfam family "Bacterial small subunit ribosomal RNA", at positions 585 to 1254 of the family's 1533-position model. The record is from RNAcentral.
AAGUCAGAUGUGAAAGCCUCCUGUUCAACGGGAGAAUUGCAUCUGAAACUACAGAUCUUGAGUGUAGGUGGGGAGAAUGGAACUUCUGGUGGAGCGGUGAAAUGCGUAGAUAUCAGAAGGAACGCCGGCGGCGAAAGCGAUUCUCUGGCCUAUUACUGACACUCAGUGUGCGAAAGCUAGGGGAGCAAACGGGAUUAGAUACCCCGGUAGUCCUAGCCGUAAACGAUGGGCACUAAGUAGAGGGAAUUACCGAUAUUCUCUCUGCCGUAGCUAACGCAUUAAGUGCCCCGCCUGGGGAGUACGGCCGCAAGGCUAAAACUCAAAAGAAUUGACGGGGGCUCGCACAAGCGGUGGAGCAUGUGGCUUAAUUCGAUGCAACGCGAAAAACCUUACCGGGGCUUGACAUGGUAGAAGUAGGAACCCGAAAGGGUAACGAACGGUAUCCAGUCCGUAGCUAUUACAGGUGUUGCAUGGCUGUCGUCAGCUCGUGUCGUGAGACGUUGGGUUAAGUCCCCUAACGAGCGAAACCCUUGUUUUUAGUUGCCAGCGGGUUGUGCCGGGCACUCUAGAAAGACUGCCGUCGUCAAGACGGAGGAAGGUGGGGAUGACGUCAAGUCAUCAUGGCCCUUAUGCCCCGGGCUGCACACGUGCUACAAUGGUCGGUACAAACGGAAGCGAAG